GGUUAAGCGACUAAGCGUACACGGUGGAUGCCCUGGCAGUCAGAGGCGAUGAAGGACGUGCUAAUCUGCGAUAAGCGUCGGUAAGGUGAUAUGAACCGUUAUAACCGGCGAUUUCCGAAUGGGGAAACCCAGUGUGAUUCGUCACACUAUCAUUAACUGAAUCCAUAGGUUAAUGAGGCGAACCGGGGGAACUGAAACAUCUAAGUACCCCGAGGAAAAGAAAUCAACCGAGAUUCCCCCAGUAGCGGCGAGCGAACGGGGAGGAGCCCAGAGCCUGAAUCAGUGUGUGUGUUAGUGGAAGCGUCUGGAAAGGCGCGCGAUACAGGGUGACAGCCCCGUACACAAAAAUGCACAUGCUGUGAGCUCGAUGAGUAGGGCGGGACACGUGGUAUCCUGUCUGAAUAUGGGGGGACCAUCCUCCAAGGCUAAAUACUCCUGACUGACCGAUAGUGAACCAGUACCGUGAGGGAAAGGCGAAAAGAACCCCGGCGAGGGGAGUGAAAAAGAACCUGAAACCGUGUACGUACAAGCAGUGGGAGCACGCUUAGGCGUGUGACUGCGUACCUUUUGUAUAAUGGGUCAGCGACUUAUAUUCUGUAGCAAGGUUAACCGAAUAGGGGAGCCGAAGGGAAACCGAGUCUUAACUGGGCGUUAAGUUGCAGGGUAUAGACCCGAAACCCGGUGAUCUAGCCAUGGGCAGGUUGAAGGUUGGGUAACACUAACUGGAGGACCGAACCGACUAAUGUUGAAAAAUUAGCGGAUGACUUGUGGCUGGGGGUGAAAGGCCAAUCAAACCGGGAGAUAGCUGGUUCUCCCCGAAAGCUAUUUAGGUAGCGCCUCGUGAAUUCAUCUCCGGGGGUAGAGCACUGUUUCGGCAAGGGGGUCAUCCCGACUUACCAACCCGAUGCAAACUGCGAAUACCGGAGAAUGUUAUCACGGGAGACACACGGCGGGUGCUAACGUCCGUCGUGAAGAGGGAAACAACCCAGACCGCCAGCUAAGGUCCCAAAGUCAUGGUUAAGUGGGAAACGAUGUGGGAAGGCCCAGACAGCCAGGAUGUUGGCUUAGAAGCAGCCAUCAUUUAAAGAAAGCGUAAUAGCUCACUGGUCGAGUCGGCCUGCGCGGAAGAUGUAACGGGGCUAAACCAUGCACCGAAGCUGCGGCAGCGACGCUUAUGCGUUGUUGGGUA
This 1189-nucleotide ribosomal RNA is filed under the name Escherichia coli. RNAcentral describes it as "partial 23S ribosomal RNA". It matches the Rfam family "Bacterial large subunit ribosomal RNA", at positions 1 to 1230 of the family's 2925-position model. Lineage: Bacteria; Pseudomonadati; Pseudomonadota; Gammaproteobacteria; Enterobacterales; Enterobacteriaceae. The record is from RNAcentral.